Molecule: long non-coding RNA, 1754 nt
Filed under: Felis catus (domestic cat)
Lineage: Eukaryota; Metazoa; Chordata; Mammalia; Carnivora; Felidae
Description: lncRNA (ENSFCAG00000047121.1)
Source: RNAcentral
AUGAAAAUGCGGGGGGCCUUGUUCAGAAAUAUAGAAAUCCAAAAUGGCAGCAGUGUUAGGCUAAGUUGGAGCCUUUCUCAGCACAGGACUCUAUGCAACUUCAUGGGCCACAUGCCCGUGAAGCCUGGCCUGCUUGGCAUCACUUUCUUUGAUGAAAAGCACUUAGCCUACAUGGUUUCCAGCAUGCUGUUGGCACUUGCGAAUAGAAGGAUGGAUGGAUUGGAAUGGAAUGGAAUAGAUGGACACAUAGAUGGAUGGAUGGACAGACAAAUGAUGGGGAAAAAAAUAAAGUUGAAAAGGUACAAGAACCAGGUCAAAGUGCCCUGUAUAUCCUGGAACAGAAUUUGGAUUUUAUCCUAAAGGCAAUUGAAGACCAGGAAGUAUUUUAAAUGGAAGUAUGACAACAUCCCUAAUUGGAUUUUUGAAAGAUGGGGAUACAAAGGAGCCUAGAGUGACCAGUUUAGAAUCUGCAAUAGAUCAAGCAAGAAGAUGGAGAGGGGGUGGAGAGAAGAUUGGUUCGAGAGAUAAUUAGGGGAUUGAACUAUGAGAACUUUAUUAAUCAAUAGGAAUGGGUAGGGUGAUUUCCAGGUUUCUGUCUUGGAUCAUUGAUGCCAAUCACUGAUCAGAAGAUAAGAAUAAGGAGCAGGUUUUGAGGAUAAAUAACACGUGCCUUUGUGCUCAGUGGCAAUUUCAAAUCUGCUCACUUUUCUCAAGCUUCACCAAAGAUGCCCAGCAGAGAAUCUCACUUGUUUUCUCCUUCACGGAAAGUCAUAGUCAUCAAGCAAGAAUCUCUCCACCUCCUUACUGCCGGUGACUAACCUGUCUGCAUCCUUCUCCUUCAGUCCUUGGUAGAGGAGGUUCCUCCCCAGGUCUCCUCCAACCCUGUGCCCCAGGACCUCACCCACAGUAAAGCCUCUUCUUAGACCUUUAACCUGGCCCUCUCCACUCUUCUCCACAGCAUAUAGCUUUCAAAUGUCUCCUGAAUUAAAAAGAACCUUCUUCCAUGUGUUGCCUAUUCCUUGCUUUUCUUUAACAACUGGCUUUCUACUUGUAGUACAUUUUUGUUGUGAAAAGCUCAAAAAUACAUAUGAAGGAGAUGAAAACGAAGUUACAUGGAAUUCUACUAUCCAGAAAUAGUUCUUGCUGAUAGGCUGGCAUAUUUCUUUCUAGUAAUUUUUCUAUGCAGAUAUGCCUGCAUGCAUAAAUGAGUAUUUUAUACUUUUCACUUCAAACUACAAGCAUUUUCCAUGUUUUAAAAAAAAAUGCCAUUGACAUUUUAAAUGAUGUGUAAAUAAUCUAUUGUCUGGCUAUACCAAAAUGUAUUUGAUUAAAUCUUACCAUUGCACUUUUAAAUUUUUCUACUAUUUUUGUCAAGUUUAUGUACUAUAAACGCUUUUACUCACAUUUCAGAUUGUUUCCUUCAGAUAGAUUUCUAAAAUUGGGAUUCUUACGUCAAAGAGUAUGAACGUCUUUAAAGUUUUUGAUACAUAUUCCCAAAUUGCUUUCCAGAUAGGUUGCACCAAAAUACAUUGCUAUUCAUUCUGCCUUUGCCAGGCUUAUCAUUCUUAAGACUGAAAAAGAAUCUUUUAUCUAAUGAUCAAAAACGAUAUCUGGUUUUUUUAUUCUGUAUUUCUUCAAUUAAAAGUGAAGCUGGACACUGAACUAUACACUUAAAAAUGGUUAAGAUGGUAAAUUUUAUGUUAUGUGUAUUUUACCACAAUAAAAAAUUUUUUUGGAAAAAAAAGUGAAGUUGG